This 486-nucleotide ribosomal RNA is filed under the name uncultured bacterium. Its description in RNAcentral is "partial 16S ribosomal RNA". It matches the Rfam family "Bacterial small subunit ribosomal RNA", at positions 30 to 507 of the family's 1533-position model. The record is from RNAcentral.
AUUGAACGCUGGCGGCAUGCCUUACACAUGCAAGUCGAACGGCAGCACGGGUGCUUGCACCUGGUGGCGAGUGGCGAAAGGGUGAGUAAUACAUCGGAACAUGUCCUGUUGUGGGGGAUAGCCCGGCGAAAGCCGGAUUAAUACCGCAUACGAUCUACGGAUGAAAGCGGGGGACCUUCGGGCCUCGCGCUAUAGGGUUGGCCGAUGGCUGAUUAGCUAGUUGGUGGGGUAAAGGCCUACCAAGGCGACGAUCAGUAGCUGGUCUGAGAGGACGACCAGCCACACUGGGACUGAGACACGGCCCAGACUCCUACGGGAGGCAGCAGUGGGGAAUUUUGGACAAUGGGCGAAAGCCUGAUGCAGCAAUGCCGCGUGUGUGAAGAAGGCCUUCGGGUUGUAAAGCACUUUUGUCCGGAAAGAAAUCCUUGGCCCUAAUACGGUCGGGGGAUGACGGUACCGGAAGAAUAAGCACCGGCUAACUACGUG